GAGCAAGGCCUUGGAAAAUCGGAGCGAUUAGAGCGAAGUGCUUCGGUCAGGCAGUAUCUUUGAAAAUAAUUUGGCCAAUGAAAGCCCUGGCAUUGGAUGAAAGUGCUAGCUGCUGGGAAUGCUACCCCUCCUUUUGGUUCUCUUUCAAGUCCUUCAGGUUCAAACAAUACAGAAGUGUAUAAAGUAAGAAUUGAAAGUCUCUUCGCUGCUCUAAUCUCACUCCUCAGAGGUGAUCACUGUGUGGAAGAUGAUCAAAGUAUGACAUUUCUUCUACCCCAGAGGCUGGCAUUUCUGCAGGCACAAAUGAGCUUGGUUUUCAAGCACUGCUCUUUGAACACAAGGAAUUCCUUUAAUGAUCACGCCGGACUAUAUAGACUUUGGAAUCAGACUCUUUGAAUUCCAGCUCUGCCAUUUACCAACUUUGACACUUUGGACAACGUCUCAUUCUGUCACCCAGGCUGGAGUGCAGUGGCACAAUUAUAGCUCACUGCAGCCUCAAACACCUGGGCUCAAGCAAUCCUUCCACCUCUGCCUCCUGAGUAAUUGGGACUACAGGUAUUAUGUUUCUAUUAAUGCAGUCUAAAGGGUUUUGGAAAUCUGGAUUGUAGCAGGGCAUUGUAAGUUAAAAAAUCAUCUUCCCAUUCUGUUCUUUGCAAAGAUAUUUCUGUUCCUUAAAUUUGUUGAGGGUAAGAGAUUGCAGAUUGCUUCUGUGGACUUCUUGAAGGUAAGUAUUAUUUCUUGAUAUUUGUAUCUCCAGUGUCUGGCACAAUGCUUGGGGGUGAGGAAGAACUCAAUAAAUGUUUGUUGGAUGAAUAAGUAAUAUUUGUGAAAGUGUUUUGUAGACUAUGAAACUGCACAAACGAAAGAUCACAAGGAUGAUUGCUUAUGAAGCCCAGAAAUUGAAGUGGAACUCCUUUCUUAAUGUAACACACACAUACAUAUUACACACAUUUUUUUCCUUGAAUAGUGGCUGCAUUUUUUUUAAUGGAACACUGGGCUACUUUUAAAUAUUGAAAUCAAAAUGUACAUGCCCACUUUUUAUUAGCAGUUGCUCCAUUUGCUCCUCCAGCUUUGGCUGGAAAACAUCUAUUUGUAUACUUAGUAUCUCUGUCCUUGGUUACCCCCAUCCCUGCCUUCUCACCCAUCUUUAGUCUGCCUUAUGGUCUUGCAUAGAUUUUCAACUGUUAGACUGUCAGGCUUGCAAGGAUGCAUUUUAAGAAAUCAGUUUCUUUGAAAGCACUUGAACCAAAAGUCAAAUGGCAUGAUGUAAACCAAUAGUCUUUCAAUGAAGAUAUGAAAACCCUCAAUAAUUACAAAUAAGGAAUCUAACCUAUUGACACCAAUUUGAUUACACUGUAUUGAUUUCUACAAAAAUAUUAUGAGAGAGCAGGCUACUUAUACUCUACUGAUCAGAUUACAAGUAUACUUAGUAAAGACAGAAAUAGUAUAGCCAUAAAA
Molecule: long non-coding RNA, 1458 nt
Filed under: Homo sapiens (human)
Lineage: Eukaryota; Metazoa; Chordata; Mammalia; Primates; Hominidae
Description: novel transcript
Source: RNAcentral